AUACGGAGGAUGCGAGCGUUAUCCGGAUUUAUUGGGUUUAAAGGGAGCGUAGGCGGGAGCUUAAGUCAGCGGUUAAAUGGUGCGGCUCAACCGUGCCCUGCCGUUGAAACUGGGUUUCUUGAGAGUGCAAGAGGCGGAUGGAAUUCAUGGGGUAGCGGGGAAAUGCUUAGAUAUCAUGAAGAACUCCGAUUGCGAAGGCAGUCCGCUGGGGCACGUCUGACGCUGAUGCUCGAAGGUGCGGGAAUCAAACAGGAUUAGAUACCCUGGUAGUCCGCACGGUAAACGAUGAUUACCCGCUGUCGGCGGUAGACAGUCGGCGGCCAAGCGAGAGCGAUAAGUAAUCCACCUGGGGAGUACGCCGGCAACGGUGAAACUCAAAUGAAUUGACGGGG
RNAcentral lists this ribosomal RNA (392 nucleotides) under uncultured bacterium. RNAcentral describes it as "partial 16S ribosomal RNA". It matches the Rfam family "Bacterial small subunit ribosomal RNA", at positions 523 to 918 of the family's 1533-position model. The record is from RNAcentral.